UACGAAGGGGACUAGCGUUGUUCGGAUUUACUGGGCGUAAAGCGCGCGUAGGCGGACACUUAAGUCAGGGGUGAAAUGCCAGGGCUCAACCUUGGAAUUGCCUUUGAUACUGGAUGUCUGGAGUUCGGGAGAGGUGAGUGGAAUUCCGAGUGUAGAGGUGAAAUGCGUAGAUAUUGGGAGGAACACCAGUGGCGAAGGCGGCUCACUGGACCGGUUCUGACGCUGAGGCGCGAAAGCGUGGGGAGCAAACGGG
This 253-nucleotide ribosomal RNA is filed under the name uncultured bacterium. Its description in RNAcentral is "partial 16S ribosomal RNA". It matches the Rfam family "Bacterial small subunit ribosomal RNA", at positions 524 to 776 of the family's 1533-position model. The record is from RNAcentral.